This 423-nucleotide long non-coding RNA is filed under the name Vitis vinifera (wine grape). RNAcentral describes it as "long non-coding RNA (VVIN_LNC005350)". The record is from RNAcentral. Lineage: Eukaryota; Viridiplantae; Streptophyta; Magnoliopsida; Vitales; Vitaceae.
GAUAGGAAAGGAAGGACUUUUGGUUUCUUGUUGAUUUAGAAUUGGUUGUUAGAUUUUUUUUUCUUUUCUUUUGCUUGUGUAUUAGCUAGAUUUUUUUUAAUUGGUAAUUUUGUUUUUGAGAAGGACAUAUCACUUAUGAUUGAUAAAUGAGCAUACCUAGCUUGAAAGAAGUUGAUUUGGAAUAUCGGCUCAUUUGCUUGAUCUUAGAAAACUUGUUAUGUUGAUUGAGUUUGAUUUGACUUUGAAGUUUUCAUCUUCCCAAGUUUUUUUUUUCUAAUUGAGUCUUGACACACACUAUGCACUCUAGACCCCUGAUAUAAGAUGAAAGACUAAUCUAACCCUAAGACUUGAACCCAAUUGUCUUAGCAAGUUAAAUCACUUUUAAAUUGAGUUGAGACACCUUAAGAAGAGGCCAAUGUGCCC